CGUUCUGAAACGCUGUACCACCGGGUUGUGUCAUUAUCGAGCUAAACAAAAACAUAGGGACCGGGGGGCUGGCGAGGAAGGUGGGAAUGGGAGAUGGCUCUCAAAUGAGUGUGGAAGGGAUGGAAGCUCAGGUUGUCAGCUCUUUCACCCCAGUGUGGGUGCAAACAGGAGACCCCCGAGGACGUGCACAAAGCCAAACGCCGUGUUUAGUACACGACAUAGUACAGUUUGAGGAGGAUUUGGAAGGAAAAAAACAAAAGGGAUAGUUCUGUUUGGGAUGCUGGCUUAUCAAGCCACCUCCCCAGACCCUCUCCUUCGUUCUGACUGUGGUUACAGAAUGGAUGUAGAAGUUCAGCAGCAAAUGGGAAACUGCCAGAAACACCGAGCAGGCCUUUUCCGCAUGGAAUUUUGCUUUGCCUCUCCAACUGCCAUCGCAUCACUGCCGGUUCUGGGUCAGACGUUGGUGCCUGAGCUCCCCAGGCAGAGGGCACAGCGAGUGUUCCCCACAGCCCCGUGCUCCCAGCCUGGGAGCUUCACGUUUCUCUGCUUUUCUGUCUGCAAAACGGGGCAGCAGGACUCCAUCAUUCUCCAGAAGGCUCUGCAGCUGCUCCAGGCUGGGAACGCCGGCCCGCUUCCAUCCAUGUGCUGCAGGAGGUGGGGUCCUGGCCACGCUGAUGUGACUAAAGAUUGUCAUAGCACAUGUGAUUUAGGGACACAAAAAGUCCUGGAGAUGAGGAGCAGCUGAGCUCAUCCUGGCUUUGCAGCCUCCGGGAGGUCAGUCCUCCCAUGGCCGGUGGAAAACUACGUGCAGAGCAUCUGUCCUGAGUGUCCAAGGGGGGACAUGAGCACAACGCCCGCUCCCACACGGGGUGAGUAUUGCACUGUGCGCUGGCAGCCCCGUGGCAGGGGAUAUGGGGUCAUCCCGCUCUCCUUUGCUGUCCUGCGCCCCGUUCCAGGGGCAGAACAAGAGAUGGGGCUCUGCCCUUCAGCCUUACUCUGUCUACAUGCCGCUGUCAAGUGGAAAUACCAAAAAUCAGCCUCUGGUGUGGGACUCUGCAAGUGAAUGAUUCCAAGACUGCAUUGGACUGCCUGGUAAGAGGGACAGAAAGAUAGCUACAUGAAAAAUAAUUAGAGUAAUUAUUCAAAAAUCAAUAGCUGUCUCAAAAAAAACCAACAGUCAAUUAACCUGGAUACAUUUCAAAAUGAAAUCUAUACUGAUUGGGUAAAAGAGGUCCAAAUGAUCAGUUAAAAUUUACUCUGGAUAACCUUAAAUUUCCUAUCGCCCUAGGUCCACUGUGGUUGGCAGCCGAUCCUGAAUCACCAGCUGCCCCAUUUUUAAGGUGACCAACUGUGGAAGGAAGCGGACUUGCUCUUUUUCUGGGCUAUCCCGUAUCUCUCAUUGCAGUGGGGGGACUGGAGACAUCCCUAUGAAGAAAAGUAGAGAAGGACAUCUGGCAGAGUGAAGACUUGCCUCCUCAUUCAGUAGAAGAAAUCCCAGAAGGAAAUAACAGGGCUUCUGUGUUUGUAGACCCAAAAGAGGUGCAAAUGAUUUAUUAAAAAAAUAACAACACUGUGCAAGUAUGGUCUUCUAUGGACCGACUACAUAAAAACA
Long non-coding RNA from Numida meleagris (helmeted guineafowl), 1612 nucleotides. RefSeq lists it as uncharacterized. The transcript is spliced from 3 exons. The record is from RefSeq and is a predicted model, not a curated record. Lineage: Eukaryota; Metazoa; Chordata; Aves; Galliformes; Numididae.